AACGAACGCUGGCGGCGCGCCUAAUACAUGCAAGUCGAGCGAGAAGGUGUAGCAAUACACUUGUAAAGCGGCGAACGGGUGAGGAAUGCAUGGGUAACCUACCCUCGAGUGGGGAAUAACUAGCCGAAAGGUUAGCUAAUACCGCAUACGUUUCCGGAACUUCGGUUUCGGAAAGAAAGCAAUACCGUGGGUAUUGCGCUCCUGGAUGGGCUCAUGUCCUAUCAGCUUGUUGGUGAGGUAACGGCUCACCAAGGCUUCGACGGGUAGCUGGUCUGAGAGGACGAUCAGCCACACUGGCACUGCGACACGGGCCAGACUCCUACGGGAGGCAGCAGUAAGGAAUAUUGCGCAAUGGACGAAAGUCUGACGCAGCGACGCCGCGUGGGGGAUGAAGGUCUUCGGAUUGUAAACCCCUUUCGGGAGGGAAGAUGGAGUGGGUAACCACUUGGACGGUACCUCCAGAAGCAG
Molecule: ribosomal RNA, 468 nt
Filed under: uncultured bacterium
Lineage: Bacteria
Description: bacterial SSU rRNA
Rfam family: Bacterial small subunit ribosomal RNA
Source: RNAcentral